RNAcentral lists this ribosomal RNA (170 nucleotides) under uncultured bacterium. Its description in RNAcentral is "partial 16S ribosomal RNA". It matches the Rfam family "Bacterial small subunit ribosomal RNA", at positions 1335 to 1500 of the family's 1533-position model. The record is from RNAcentral.
CUAGUAAUCGCGGAUCAGCACGCCGCGGUGAAUACGUUCCCGGGCCUUGUACACACCGCCCGUCACACCAUGGAAGUCUGCAAUGCCCGAAGCCGGUGGCCUAACCACUUAUGUGGAAGGAGCCGUCUAAGGCAGGGCAGAUGACUGGGGUGAAGUCGUAACAAGGUAAC